AGGGAGGGAGGGAGGGAAGGAAGGAAGGAAGAAAGAAAAAAGACAAAAAGAAGGAAAGAAAGAAGAAAGAAAGAAAGAAAGAAAGAAAGAAAGAAAGAAAGAAAGAAAGAAAGAAAGAAAGAAAGAAAUGUUACAAAAUAUUCCUUUUCUUCUUUUCUCUCUUAUAAAAACCCAUACAUACCCAACUAUGAGGACUACUUUAAGUGGCCAGUGCAGACGCCCUUCAGCAGAUCGCAGGGCUAACUGGCCUUUGGGGAGCCGCCUCCUUCUGCUCCUGAAGACUCGUUUCUCCAGGCCUGGCAGGGGCAUUUCCAAUUAAUAGCAGUGCAGCUUUGGAUCACAGCUUUGCAAAAGGGUCAAUGCUAAGAAGUAAACACUGGAGCGCUCAACGACAAUAAUUCAUAAGCAGCAGGAAGGAAAGUGCUCGCUCGUCUUGUCGGGCUCGUUGGAGCCAGUUCUGAGUUUAUUCAUGACAUGUGAAGUGUAUCCGCAGGCAAACUCCUCGAUGAAACGCCUCAAGACCCACACGGCACUGUCAUUUGAAUUGAAUGGACGGAAACCCCAGCCUGUUGGUGAGAAGAUACCAGAUUCCGUGAAUCGCCACAACAGCCAGGUUGCGUUUACAGCGUGGGGAACACAGACACAAGCACCACGAGGAGAGCCCCCACUUUGCUUUGACAGAGAGCACCGGAGUUCGCAGAGCCUUCCAUGAAGCCGGAGGACGGGGCUGUAGGAGAGUGUGUGUGCCCUGCGGCCCCCUCCUUGCCCAGCACCUGGGUGCAGCCGAUACCCGAGGGGAGUGUCAGGCCCUGGACCCUGUCUCCGGGGCGUGUGCAUCUGCAGUGGCUUUGCUUGGAAGCAAAGUUACUGUAAGCAACAAAGAAUGGACACUUUCUAGCACUGGUUAUCUCUGAGCAAAAUUAUACAGUUUGGCAUAUUUUAAAACAUAAAUAAAGUUUAUGCUAUAAUUUUAAUAUUUUAAAAUUUAAC
This 990-nucleotide long non-coding RNA is filed under the name Rhinopithecus roxellana (golden snub-nosed monkey). Its description in RNAcentral is "lncRNA (ENSRROG00000045963.1)". Lineage: Eukaryota; Metazoa; Chordata; Mammalia; Primates; Cercopithecidae. The record is from RNAcentral.